This 254-nucleotide ribosomal RNA is filed under the name uncultured bacterium. RNAcentral describes it as "partial 16S ribosomal RNA". It matches the Rfam family "Bacterial small subunit ribosomal RNA", at positions 524 to 776 of the family's 1533-position model. The record is from RNAcentral.
UACGUAGGGUGCAAGCGUUAUCCGGAAUUAUUGGGCGUAAAGAGCUCGUAGGCGGUCUGUCGCGUCGGUCGUGAAAACUUGGGGCUUAACCCUGAGCUUGCGGUCGAUACGGGCAUGACUGGAGUUCGGUAGGGGAGACUGGAAUUCCUGGUGUAGCGGUGAAAUGCGCAGAUAUCAGGAGGAACACCGGUGGCGAAGGCGGGUCUCUGGGCCGAUACUGACGCUGAGGAGCGAAAGCGUGGGGAGCGAACAGG